UGGGGAAUAUUGGACAAUGGGCGAAAGCCUGAUCCAGCAAUGCCGCGUGAGUGAUGAAGGCCUUAGGGUUGUAAAGCUCUUUUACCAGGGAUGAUAAUGACAGUACCUGGAGAAUAAGCUCCGGCUAACUCCGUGCCAGCAGCCGCGGUAAUACGGAGGGAGCUAGCGUUGUUCGGAAUUACUGGGCGUAAAGCGCACGUAGGCGGUUACUCAAGUCAGAGGUGAAAGCCCGGGGCUCAACCCCGGAACUGCCUUUGAAACUAGGUGACUAGAAUCUUGGAGAGGUCAGUGGAAUUCCGAGUGUAGAGGUGAAAUUCGUAGAUAUUCGGAAGAACACCAGUUGCGAAGGCGACUGACUGGACAAGUAUUGACGCUGAGGUGCGAAAGCGUGGGGAGCAAACA
Molecule: ribosomal RNA, 402 nt
Filed under: uncultured prokaryote
Description: bacterial SSU rRNA
Rfam family: Bacterial small subunit ribosomal RNA
Source: RNAcentral